ACGUAGGUGGCGAGCGUUGUCCGGAUUUACUGGGCGUAAAGGGCGUGCAGGCGGUUUGUUAAGUGCAGGGUGAAAGCUCCCGGCUCAACUGGGAGAGGUCCUUGCAUACUGGCGAACUCGAGGGAGGCAGAGGAAAGUGGAAUUCCCGGUGUAGUGGUGAUAUGCGUAGAUAUCGGGAGGAACACCUGUGGCGAAGGCGGCUUUCUGGGCCUUACCUGACGCUGAGACGCGAAAGCGUGGGGAGCGAACCGGA
This 253-nucleotide ribosomal RNA is filed under the name uncultured prokaryote. RNAcentral describes it as "partial 16S ribosomal RNA". It matches the Rfam family "Bacterial small subunit ribosomal RNA", at positions 525 to 777 of the family's 1533-position model. The record is from RNAcentral.